RNAcentral lists this ribosomal RNA (1538 nucleotides) under Rikenellaceae bacterium. RNAcentral's name for it is "bacterial SSU rRNA". It matches the Rfam family "Bacterial small subunit ribosomal RNA". Lineage: Bacteria; Pseudomonadati; Bacteroidota; Bacteroidia; Bacteroidales; Rikenellaceae. The record is from RNAcentral.
AUUUUUACAAUGAAGAGUUUGAUCCUGGCUCAGGAUGAACGCUAGCGGCAGGCUUAACACAUGCAAGUCGAGGGGCAGCGCGAGUAGCAAUACUUGGCGGCGACCGGCGCAAGGGUGCGUAACGCGUGAGCAACAUGCCCGUAUCAGGGGGAUAAUCCAGGGAAACUUGGUCUAAUACCCCAUAGUAAUCUUAGGAGGCAUCUUUUAGGAUUUAAAGCUUUGGUGGAUACGGAUUGGCUCGCGUGACAUUAGCUAGAUGGUAAGGUAACGGCUUACCAUAGCUAUGAUGUCUAGGGGUUCUGAGAGGAAGGUCCCCCACACUGGAACUGAGACACGGUCCAGACUCCUACGGGAGGCAGCAGUGAGGAAUAUUGGACAAUGGAUGGAAAUCUGAUCCAGCCAUGCCGCGUGAAGGAAGAAUGUCCUAUGGAUUGUAAACUUCUUUUGUAUGGGAGCAAUAAGGUCUUCGUGAAGACUGAUGAGAGUACCAUACGAAUAAGCAUCGGCUAACUCCGUGCCAGCAGCCGCGGUAAUACGGAGGAUGCGAGCGUUAUCCGGAUUUAUUGGGUUUAAAGGGUGCGUAGGCUGUUAUAUAAGUCAGUGGUGAAAUAUUCGGGCUCAACCGGGAUACUGCCAUUGAUACUGUAUAGCUGGAAUAUGGUUGCUGUGAGUGGAAUGUGUGGUGUAGCGGUGAAAUGCAUAGAGAUCACACAGAAUAUCGAUUGCGAAGGCAACUCACAAAGCCAUUAUUGACGCUGAUGCACGAAAGUGUGGGGAUCAAACAGGAUUAGAUACCCUGGUAGUCCACACUGUAAACGAUGAUAACUAGCUGUCGGCGAUACACAGUCGGUGGCCAAGCGAAAGCGAUAAGUUAUCCACCUGGGGAGUACGACCGCAAGGUUGAAACUCAAAGGAAUUGACGGGGGCCCGCACAAGCGGAGGAACAUGUGGUUUAAUUCGAUGAUACGCGAGGAACCUUACCCGGGCUCGAACGGUGCAGGAAUAUGGUAGAGAUAUCAUAGCUAGCAAUAGUCUGUAUCGAGGUGCUGCAUGGUUGUCGUCAGCUCGUGCCGUGAGGUGUCGGCUUAAGUGCCAUAACGAGCGCAACCCUUGUCGUUAGUUACCAUCAAGUAAUGUUGGGGACUCUAGCGAGACUGCCACCGUAAGGUGUGAGGAAGGGGGGGAUGACGUCAAAUCAGCACGGCCCUUACGUCCGGGGCGACACACGUGUUACAAUGGUAGGUACAGAGGGGCGCUAUCCAGCGAUGGAGUGCGAAUCUCAAAAACCUAUCUCAGUUCGGAUCGGAGUCUGCAACUCGACUCCGUGAAGUUGGAUUCGCUAGUAAUCGCGCAUCAGCCAUGGCGCGGUGAAUACGUUCCCGGGCCUUGUACACACCGCCCGUCAAGCCAUGGAAGCUGGGGGUGCCUGAAGUUCGUGACCGCAAGGAGCGACCUAAGGCAAAACUGGUAACUGGGGCUAAGUCGUAACAAGGUAGCCGUACCGGAAGGUGUGGCUGGAACACCUCCUUUUUGGAGCU